GCGCCCGUAGCUCAGCUGGACAGAGCGUCGGUCUUCGGAACCGAAAGUCGGGGGUUCGAAUCCUCCCGGGCGUA
This 74-nucleotide transfer RNA is filed under the name Candidatus Acetothermia bacterium. RNAcentral describes it as "tRNA-Arg". It matches the Rfam family "tRNA". Rfam says of the family: Transfer RNA (tRNA) molecules are approximately 80 nucleotides in length. Their secondary structure includes four short double-helical elements and three loops (D, anti-codon, and T loops). Further hydrogen bonds mediate the characteristic L-shaped molecular structure. tRNAs have two regions of fundamental functional importance: the anti-codon, which is responsible for specific mRNA codon recognition, and the 3' end, to which the tRNAs corresponding amino acid is attached (by aminoacyl-tRNA synthetases). tRNAs cope with the degeneracy of the genetic code in two manners: having more than one tRNA (with a specific anti-codon) for a particular amino acid; and 'wobble' base-pairing, i.e. permitting non-standard base-pairing at the 3rd anti-codon position. Lineage: Bacteria; Candidatus Bipolaricaulota. RNAcentral also lists the same sequence under 2 other names. The record is from RNAcentral.